This 454-nucleotide ribosomal RNA is filed under the name uncultured cyanobacterium. RNAcentral's name for it is "bacterial SSU rRNA". It matches the Rfam family "Bacterial small subunit ribosomal RNA", at positions 28 to 524 of the family's 1533-position model. Lineage: Bacteria; Bacillati; Cyanobacteriota. The record is from RNAcentral.
GAUGAACGCUGGCGGUAUGCUUAACACAUGCAAGUCGAACGGUCACUUCGGUGAUAGUGGCGGACGGGUGAGUAACGCGUGAGAAUCUGUCUUCAGGUCGGGGACAACAGUUAGAAAUGACUGCUAAUACCGGAUGUGCCGUAAGGUGAAAGAUUUAUUGCCUGAAAAAGAGCUCGCGUCAGAUUAGCUAGUAGGUGGUGUAAGAGACUACCUAGGCGACGAUCUGUAGCUGGUCUGAGAGGACGAUCAGCCACACUGGAACUGAGACACGGUCCAGACUCCUACGGGAGGCAGCAGUGGGGAAUUUUCCGCAAUGGGCGAAAGCCUGACGGAGCAAUACCGCGUGAGGGACGAAGGCUUUUUGGGUCGUAAAACCCUCUUUUAUUAGGGAAGAUUUCAGGACGGUACCUAAUGAAUAAGCAUCGGCUAACUCUGUGCCAGCAGCCGCGGUAAU